CUUCGUCGCCUUCAAAGAAUGCGCACUGCCAAUACCCUCGACCGAAGGUCGAAGUUUUGAGAAAUACUUUGCCUUUGCCCAAUUGAUCGAACAAGUCCGCAAUGAGCGGGAUGGGAUACUUGUUCUUCACCGCUACUUUGUUGAGGGCUCGAUAGUCGACGAUAAUCGGAGACUCCCAUCUUGUUUCUUCCGAAGAGAACCGGAGCUCCGAAAGGUGCUUUUGAGCUGCGGAUGAGACCACCGCCAGCAGUUCACCUAACUGCUUUCUGAGUUCUGCCAACUCGGGGGGGGCAUGCGAUAGGGUGGUCUCACCGAGGCUUCACUCUGGCUCCAGCUCGAUAUCGUGAUCCACGCCUCUGCGUGGUGGAAGGGUCUUCGGCCUUCGGUGGCAUAACGCCUUUGAACUCGUUCAGACGUUCGCCACCAACAGGUUCUUGAAUGGCCUCUUCAUUGAGUGGCUCUAGCUUCAUAGCAGCCACGAAUGUCGGUCGCCCUUUCGCACCCCUUUCUUCAAUUGUAAUGCCGAAAUGUGUUGGGGCUCCUCGGUUCCUCUCCCGAGAGACGGAACCACGCAGGGUCAUCACCUCCCAUCAUACAUAGGGAGUUCAAGAACGGCAUCGGCACCAACUUCACCAGAUGCAUAUACUCCAUUCCAAGAAUCACUUGAAGUCGCCCAGAUGGCACGGCCAUCAUGUUGGUGUUUUCCGCUCCAAGUCCCGGGAUUUUGAUAGGAACACCCUUCGCCAACCCGAGAUUCGCUUUGGCCUCGAAGUUCACCGCCUUUCAUUCGACUUGGGCAAUUCUCCAAGGUCAACCUAAGUCGUUGUGCUUCGCGAUCGGCUAUGAAGUUGUGGGUAGCGCCCAUAUCCACCAUUGCACGGGGUCGCUUGGCCAUUUAGCUUAAUAUCCACAUACAUCAGCUCGCCCUUCCUCACUUUUUUGUGCCUUCGUCUUCAUAUUCUCCCCACUUGACCCCGCAUAGCGCUCAACAGACGACAUUACUCCCAUUCGGGUCCUUGCGACUCCUCAUCGUCAUUUGCUGAAUUCUGAACUGCUCUAACUAAGAGCAACAGCUUUGCCCUUUGUCCGACGGGGAGGGUGGAUGGAAGCCGUCAACGCGUUGAGUGCCUCGCUUUCAGGGCACUCCCUUACCAUGUCGCGGUCCUCCACAAGAAGCAUCCUCCAGUUUUUGAGGCCUUGCCUUUUGGGUUCGGCCCUUUAUGGGAGCUCUUCUUCUUUGUUCGCCCCCCGCUCCUUCCCUCGAGAAUGUUUUGGAGGGCUUAUUGCUUGAAGAUUGUUUCCUUCUCACCGGGUCUUCCGAGGAAAAAAAGUUGGUGAGCCUUUCUGCAGCAGCGAUUGCCCCACUACAUCGGUAACAUUCCUUCCGAUUUAGCUCCUGCUGAACCCAUGGUUUCAAACCAUCGAGGAAGCUGAACAACUUGUCCUUCUCGGACAUGUCCUGUAUGUCCAAAGAUUAGUGCAGAAAACUGUUUCACAUAGUCUCGGAUGGUGGUGCUUUUGGCGGAGUUGUCUCAACUUCCUUCUUGCAUUUAACUCUAUGUUCUCCUAAGGAACCGAGUUCUCAACUCCCGCUUCAAGUCCUCCCAUGUGUCGACUCGACACCGACCUUGUUGGAUCUCUUCCCAACGAGUUCGCCACCAAAGUUUCGCAUCUCCGUUCAGAUACAUCGUUGCUAUAGAAACUUUGGUAUCUUCAGAAUCGGGCCUCGUGGCUCGGAAGUAUUGUUCCAUGUGAUGGUCCCCGCGGAUGCUCACGCAAUGUGAUUUCUGCCCAAUGCUCUGAAUGUCAAAGUGAAGAAAUUCAACCAAGCGCGGGUAAACGGCGGGAGUAACUAUGACUCUCUUAAGGUAGCCAAAUGCCUCGUCAUCUAAUUAGUGAUGCACAUGAAUGGAUUAACGAGAUUCCCACUGUCCCCGUCUACUAUCCAAAUAAAACAACGACCAAGGGAACGGGCUUGGCGUAAUCAGCCGGGAAAGAAGACCCUAUUGAGCUUGACUCUAGUCCGACUUUGUGAAAUGACUUGAGAGGUGUAGGAUAAGUGGGAGCCGGUUCACGGGCGAAGUGAAAUACCACUACUUUUAACGUUAUUUUACUUAUUCCGUGAGUCGGAGGUGGGGCCCGCCCCUCCUUUUUUUCGACCCAAGGCCCGCUUAGCGGGCCGAUCCGGCGGAAGACAUUGUCGGUGGGGAGUUUGGCUGGGGUGGCACAUCUGUUAAAAGAUAACGCAGGUGUCCUAAGAUGAGCUCAACGAGAACAGAAAUCUCGUGGGAACAAAAAGGGUAAAAGCUCGUUUGAUUCUCGAUUUCCGAUGCAUGAAUCUGAACCGUGAAAGCAUGGCCUAUCGAUCCUUUAGACCUUCGGAAUUUGAAGCUAGAGGUGUCAGAAAAGUUACCACAGGGAUAACUGGCUUGUGGAAGCCAAGCGUUCAUAGCGACGUUGCUUUUUGAUCCUUCGAUGUCGGCUCUUCCUAUCAUUGUGAAGCAGAAUUCACCAAGUGUUGGAUUGUUCACCCACCAAUAGGGAACGUGAGCUGGGUUUAGACCGUCGUGAGACAGGUUAGUUUUACCCUACUGAUGAUCGUGUCGCGAUAGUAAUUCAACCUAGUACGAGAGGAACCAUUGAUUCACACAAUUGGUCAUCGCGCUUGGUUGAAAAAGCCGAUGGCGCCGGUUACCUGCGGUGUCGGAUUAUGACCAACGCCUCUAAGUCAGAAUCCUAGCUAGCAACCGGGCGCCUCGCCCGUCGUUAAACCUCCCCGACCCACAGUAGGGGCCUUUGGCCCCAUGGGCUCAUGUCGCCGUGUAGCCCUCGUGGUGGUAUAGCCACGGGCGCCAUCGGAAGUGAAAUUCCACGGACGACGGGCGAAUCCUUUGCAGACGACUUAAAUACGCGAUGGGGCAUUGUAAGUGGUAGAGUGGCCUUGCUGCCACGAUCCACUGAGAUCCAGCCCAGCGUCGCACGGAUUCGUCCCCCUCUCCCCCC
This 3003-nucleotide ribosomal RNA is filed under the name Musa schizocarpa. Its description in RNAcentral is "eukaryotic LSU rRNA". The stretch from base 1682 to 2987 matches the Rfam family "Eukaryotic large subunit ribosomal RNA", at positions 1889 to 3399 of the family's 3401-position model. The record is from RNAcentral. Lineage: Eukaryota; Viridiplantae; Streptophyta; Magnoliopsida; Zingiberales; Musaceae.